AGAGUUUGAUCCUGGCUCAGAGUGAACGCUGGCGGCGUGCUUAACACAUGCAAGUCGAACGAGAACGGGUUAUAGCUUGCUAUAACUGUCAGCUAAGUGGCGCACGGGUGAGUAAUAUAUAGGUAACAUGCCUUCGAGAAGGGGAUAACGUUUGGAAACGAACGCUAAUACCCUAUAUGCCUUUAUCCCAUAAGGGAGCAAGGGAAAUAUUUAUAGCUCGAAGAUUGGCCUGUACGGUAUCAGCUUGUUGGUGAGGUAAUGGCUCACCAAGGCUAUGACAUCUAACUGGUUUGAGAGGAUGAUCAGUCACACUGGAACUGAGACACGGUCCAGACUCCUACGGGAGGCAGCAGUGGGGAAUAUUGCACAAUGGACGAAAGUCUGAUGCAGCAACGCCGCGUGGAGGAUGACACAUUUCGGUGCGUAAACUCCUUUUAUAUGGGAAGAUAAUGACGGUACCAUAUGAAUAAGCACCGCUAACU
Molecule: ribosomal RNA, 482 nt
Filed under: uncultured bacterium
Lineage: Bacteria
Description: bacterial SSU rRNA
Rfam family: Bacterial small subunit ribosomal RNA
Source: RNAcentral